Molecule: long non-coding RNA, 2422 nt
Filed under: Sus scrofa (pig)
Lineage: Eukaryota; Metazoa; Chordata; Mammalia; Artiodactyla; Suidae
Description: lncRNA (ENSSSCG00045012282.1)
Source: RNAcentral
UUAUCAUUUACACAUCAAAUACAUACAGCAUUAAGACCAAAUAUACAGAAUUUCCACAUUUAUAUACAGUAAUCAACAUAGUGCACAAUUCAAAUCUAUCUUACAAUCAAGUAAAUGUUUGCAGGCAGUGUCCACCCAUCAGCCCCCAAGCCGCUGAAACGUGGGUUCGAAUUACACUAACAUUGGUCCUUCCCAUCUCAGAGAUCUGGAAAACACACCUCUACAUCUUCCACACAUUUAGAGAUGGGAUAUUAUAAACAAAGAGAAGAAAGAUGCACAAUCAGUGAGAUGAUGCUUAGCAGGACUUUCAGAUUCAGAAAUUCUCAGGCAACAGAGUCAGCAUCUGCAUUGUUGAGGUCCUUUUCCCUUCCUUUCUUUUCUGGUUUUGCUAAGUCAAGGUACUGAGUAAUUGUUCAGGAAUGUACAAGACGUUCUAGAUUAAGUGGUCCCCAAAACAGAAUUUAAAAGAGCUCUUGUAAAGAUCAUACCUAAUUAGCCAUUCUCCUCUUCUCCAACCAAAAAUGUAUUGUAAGAAUGAAUGAAUGAAUGACCUUGACCUAAAAUCAUGCGUCCAUGCCUAUUUUACAUCCACUUUCCCACCAAUGUUACACACACAUUCGUUAACUAACCAGUUUUCUAGGUGUCAACUUUUAAGUCUUCCUUGUCCCAUUCUCUAAACUCUAUUGUCGAGGAGAAAAUUCUUUGUAAAUUUCUAUGUUUGCUAUGGUUUUUAACGUUCAUAACAUAUCAAUAGAGCAGUGUGUGUAUGUGUUUAUAAAUAAAUACGCUGAAGGGCAUGCCGAGAAAGUUUUACAAAGGUUUGGAGACCACUUGCCUACAUAAGGAUGAUCUGGCGUGUCUCCAAACACUGACAGUUUCUAUAAAACAAAUAUACAAAUACAUUCUUUACAUAGUAUAUUAUAAAAUGGAAACUAUAUGCCACAAACGUUUUUGAGAGACCAGAAGUUAAGUUCCAGAAUCAAAGGAGUGGACACCCUGGGGCUACGCCUCUUGUGCCCAGGCCCAGCCUCAGAUGGGACAGCCCAGGAGAACAAGCCAGAAACCAGGGCAAUGCUCAACAUUUCUCCAAUGCUUGCUGCACCGGCCACUGGGAUAUUCACAGACAAGCCUUCCCUACAGAUGGCAUUUGUUUUUUAUUUAAACCUGUAGUCAUCUGCAUUGUUUUAGUAAGAUGCCACUACCUAGAAAAUUUCCAGAGUGCCGACACAUCUCUAAUAUAACCAUACCACAUGGUUGCUCAAAGCCAGUAUCCAUUCUCUUUCCUUCUCUCCUCCCACUCAGUGAAAUUCAAAUACCUCCCAAUAAAGUACUCAGAUCCACAUCUUUUCAACCGAUACCAUGGAGGAGCCAUCACCCUCAUCAACGCUGCAGUUGUCAGACACUCAGCCGGACACGGGGUGCUGGGAAAAACAUAUGUGUACAGUAAGCAUGAUCCCAUGAAAUGGAUUAUUUGAGGUAAAACCAUUUUGACAGAAGUAACACAAACACAUUGCCCCUACUGAAGCAGAGAUCCCUCCAAAAAUUUGAGCCUUAUCUUUAGUCUUAUUGCUGCAAAAGAUUUCAGAUAUAAUUUGCUGAAGAUAAAAAUACAAUCAUUUGGACAUGGUUGAUGUUUUAAUAAAGUCCAAUGUGAUCUCUAGUUGGGGGAGAGAAGCAAACAUGAGAGAAUGUUUCCAAUUGCAAACAACUAUUAAAAAGUCCAAGGAUUGCUGUUUUUUUAAGAAGAGGGGGGUAGCAAGUACCCCAAGAAUUACUCUUUUCCAGCCUCCAAUUAUAUUACAUUCCUGCUGCUAUCUAUGUAGCCACUACUGGUUAACUUGGCAAUUCAGGCACUGAAUUCUAUUGUUUUCAAAGCCAUGGGGUAAUUUUUUUAAUACUAAAGAAGAAAAAAGGUUUCAACUUUACUAAUAAAUAGAAAGCACUCUAUUCUAGAGCCAAAAGGAAAAAAAAAAAAAGAAAAAAAAAGAAAAAACCGGGGAGGGGGGGAUGCUUGCCAGUGGGAGUGGGAGCUGAAUUAGUCAUAUUUAGACUACUUUUCACAAAGUGAAAUAUCAUCUUAAAUAUAUAUUGCUCUAUAGUUAGUGAAUUGUCUCAAAAUCUUUAAAGCUGUAAUUAAGGAUAACAGCAAUUGAAAAAUCUUCAAGAAGGCCAUCAAGUUCAUUGCUGAAAUUAUUUCACUGUGAAUGGAACACCAAGGUACUGUACCAAUCUUUUGCUCUAGAUAACUUGUUUCCCCACAGAUAUGAUCAGGAGUGUUGGUGCUGGCUGGACCACAUCCAAAAGCCACUGUUUGAUUAUUGCAACCGUCCCCGUUAUUUGCCUACAAAUUUGACAGUUAGGGGCAAUAAUCCUCUUGCAAUUUGAGCAUCCUAAUGAUCUAGCCAAGAGCAUAAGUUUCAGA